RNAcentral lists this long non-coding RNA (358 nucleotides) under Elaeis guineensis (African oil palm). Its description in RNAcentral is "long non-coding RNA (EGUI_LNC010020)". The record is from RNAcentral. Lineage: Eukaryota; Viridiplantae; Streptophyta; Magnoliopsida; Arecales; Arecaceae.
UGGAUUUAAGUUCUAAUUAGAUUGGGACUGUCUAAAAUGAAUCGAGCUUGAAUAGAAUUCGAGUUGGAUUCGAAUCAAAUUGAGUCCAAAUUGAGCCUAAUUGGAUAAGGAUGUAAGAGUUUCAAUUUUAUUGGGACUCUCUCUCUCCUCUCAUAGUAGCGUGCCCCCUCCUUUGGAGUGCGUAAAAUGAGAAGAGAGGAUGCCAACCUCUUCUCUGGGCUUCUCUCUCUUCUUGCUACAUGGGAUUGGAUUAGUUCAAUCUAAAUUUGAACUUUUUAUCUGAUAAGAGUUUAAAUUUAGUGGAACUCUAUCUAAUCCCCUUGACCACAUCUAUAAAAAAGAUAGAGUUUUUGAGCAU